Long non-coding RNA from Eucalyptus grandis, 1095 nucleotides. RefSeq lists it as uncharacterized. The transcript has 2 exons. NCBI's taxonomy places the organism in Eukaryota, Viridiplantae, Streptophyta, Magnoliopsida, Myrtales, Myrtaceae. The record is from RefSeq and is a predicted model, not a curated record.
GAGAGGGAGGGUGGAAUGAAGCAUCUGCAAUGGCGGAUCCUGCCGGCGCUGAUCCUGCUGGCUUCCUUCGCCGCCUAUCUCUACGUGAAGGAGCUGUCGAAGCGUCACAGAGUAGCGAACAGAAAUGGGCCUUUGCUGGACAAACAGGCAAGUUUUAUACGAAGUUGUUGUACCUUUUCCUCGUUCUCCAAUGUACCUCGACCCUGUCAGCUAGGAUACAUACGUUGAUGCGUGUUUGACUGCUGGAUCAGAAUCAUGACAAACAGGCAGGUUCAACGGUCCACCAAAUAUUUCCAAUAUAGCUCGUGUGCAUGCAUGGUUUCUUUACCUUCCUAACAUUGCAUUGUGAAAGUUAUAAAUGUGUUUUGACUAGUUCGAACAGAAUCAAAUUACAGAAGCAUGUUCUGCUCAGCUAAGCUAAUCAUUCAGCGUUGGAAUUUUCUAUGUUCUUCCAAUCCUUGGAGCAAGUCUCUCAUUUCCAAUUCACGGCCUUUCAGAUGUUUUAGGUUUGCAGUCUGGUUGAGCUUCUUUGCUAUGUUGGUUUUAGCUAGUUGAAUAUUGCCACAUUUUCUAGAUAUAACUUUUAUAGUUCUCCUUUAUAUGCCGUUUUUUAUAGCUUGAUGUGGAAAUACUGAGUGUACUGACAAUGCUCUUUUCUCUUAAUAUUGUAGUAAGGAAAUUUGCAAUUUCUUCAAAUUCUUUCCGACAUCAUCCCAUUUUGAGAACUCACAGAAACCCCUCAGAUGGUUCCAAUGGAUUGAUUCCCCAUUGGUGAUAAUCACUUCCAGCAAAUCAUUUUAGGCCUCUUGUGAAAAACGAUUGAAGUUGACCUUCAACGAAGAGAAAAGAGAGGAUUCUAUUGGAUGUUUGUUAAUUUCAUGGAUAAUAAUGUAGCAAGAUGUGAUAGGACUUUGAUUGGUUGUUGUAGGUUGCACGUGAUCAGUGGGAGGUCUAACUAUAUUGUAAACUCAUCUGUUAUCUUCUCUUUCUUAUAGUGUUGUGCAUGCUUUGAGCACAUAUUAAAGUUGUAACUGUUGUUGUCUCUUUUUGUAAUGAGAAUAUUAAAAUUUAAUGAAUUCAAAUGUUCAAUGAUAA